GAAAUGCGAUAAGUAAUGUGAAUUGCAGAAUUCCGUGAAUCAUCGAAUCUUUGAACGCACAUUGCGCCCUCUGGUAUUCCGGGGGCAUGCCUGUCCGAGCGUCAUUGCGAACCCCUCAAGCACGGCUUGUGUGAUGGGCCCUCCCGCGUCUUGGUCGUCAAGACGGGCCCGAAAUGCAGUGGUGGCUUCGCGGUUAUCCGAUCAUCCAGAGCGUAUGGGGACUCUCUCUCUUGUCACACGCCCGCGGCGCGGACCGACGCCUGUCGACCUUUAUUCAUCUUCUCUCGGUUGACCUCGGAUCAGGUAGGGAUACCCGCUGAACUUAAGC
Molecule: unclassified non-coding RNA, 328 nt
Filed under: plant metagenome
Description: partial contains 5.8S ribosomal RNA, internal transcribed spacer 2, and large subunit ribosomal RNA
Rfam family: 5.8S ribosomal RNA (bases 1-104)
Source: RNAcentral